CCUACGGGUGGCAGCAGUGGGGAAUAUUGCACAAUGGGCGAAAGCCUGAUGCAGCAACGCCGCGUGAAGGAAGAAGGGUUUCGGCUCGUAAACUUCUAUCAACAGGGACGAAAGACAUGACGGUACCUGAAUACUACGCCCCGGCUAACUACGUGCCAGCAGCCGCGGUAAUACGUAGGGGGCAAGCGUUAUCCGGAAUUACUGGGUGUAAAGGGUGGGUAGGCGGCAUGGUAAGCCAGAUGUGAAAGCCUUGGGCUUAACCCGAGGAUUGCAUUUGGAACUAUCAAGCUGGAGUGCGGGAGAGGAAAGCGGAAUUCCUGGUGUAGCGGUGAAAUGCGUAGAUAUUAGGAAGAACACCAGUGGCGAAGGCGGCUUGCUGGACUGAAACUGACGCUGAGGCGCGAAAGCGUGGGGAGCGAACAGGAUUAGAUACCCGUGUAGUC
RNAcentral lists this ribosomal RNA (443 nucleotides) under uncultured bacterium. Its description in RNAcentral is "partial 16S ribosomal RNA". It matches the Rfam family "Bacterial small subunit ribosomal RNA", at positions 338 to 795 of the family's 1533-position model. The record is from RNAcentral.